This 267-nucleotide unclassified non-coding RNA is filed under the name uncultured Archaeorhizomyces. RNAcentral's name for it is "sequence contains ITS1". The stretch from base 1 to 103 matches the Rfam family "5.8S ribosomal RNA", at positions 50 to 154 of the family's 154-position model. The record is from RNAcentral. Lineage: Eukaryota; Fungi; Ascomycota; Archaeorhizomycetes; Archaeorhizomycetales; Archaeorhizomycetaceae.
GAAGCGCGAAAUGUAGUGUGAAUCGCAGAACAUUGUGAAUCAUCGAAUCUUUGAACGCACAUUGCGCCUCUAGUAACUUGGAGGCAUGCCUGUCUGAGCGUCAUUUAAAACCAUAGACCCAAUUGGGUUUGUAUUGGGCUUUGCCUCUGGGCGUCGCCUCAAAGUCAUCGGUCUUGAACGCGGACGAGUUCCAUUAGGACAGACCGUGUCUAGACUUUAAACCUCUGACUUGACCUCAGAUCAGGUAGGAUUACCGCCUGAACUUAA